CUGUGGGGUUUGGCCAGAGUCCCGGGCUGGACACUCGGCUCCAUAUCAGCUCUGGCUCCCGCUCCGUUGAGUGGGCCCCUGAGGGAGCUCCGGCUGGACUGCCUGACUGGUGUUCACAGCUUUUAAUUUCCCUGCAGCUUCACGGCGAGACCUCGGCAAAGACUCGUCCAAAGCUCACUCUCACUCCAGAGCGGGAAGCAACUGCAGGUUGAUGGCACACUCUGGCAUCCACUCCCAGGGGCGUUUCAGGAUGGGGUCUGAGGGAACUCGAGAGAUGGCCCUAGGCAUGCCAGAGGUUCCAGAGGGACCAACUAAGGUGGGACAAUCACAUCAUCCAUGGACUGGGGGCCAGAAAGGAGUAAGGAAGGAGCUUUACUCCACAGCAUGAACUCGGAGGUGAUGAGCUGCCUCACCAAAGUCCUGAAAGCAACAGAAGACAAGUGGCCUUGGCCUGAAUCCAGGAGGCAGAAUAACCCCUUCCUGACUGGAAGCUGCCAUCUCAGGUGCUGUAUCACUCUGACUUCUGAGGAGCACACAGCCUCAUCUUCUCCACCGGCAAGGACACAAUGUGGCACUCAUAACCCAGGCCUGACCUUUCCCAGGUGCUUUGCUUGGCCUGCCUCCCCCAACCAUUAUUGUCAUCUGGACAUCUGGGAGUGUUUCCAGGACCCCAAAAGCUGUCGUCCUGUGGGAGUCACUACACAAAUGCCCCAGUGCCUCUUGGGAGCUGCCUUCCAAUGCAGCCAUAGUUUUGUUGUUAGCCUGUUUUCAUGUGGGGGUUGGAGAUUCACACUGGGGUCCUUGUGCUUACAGAGCAAGCAUUCUUACCCACCAGGCCAUCUCCCCAGUCCAGAGUGUUGGAUUUUUAAAACUGCUAUUUGAGAUUCACAAAAUCUGGUUCGGUGACUUUGGGCUUAGGACUGGGACAGACUUUCUGAUGAUUUCAGAAAUGGCCUUAAAUGCGCCUCUGCCUUUGAGACAGUUUCUCCGCUCUGGCGGCGUUCUCAGCAGUUUCAAUCAUUCAGCCAAGAUUUAAUCUUUCUACGAAAUAAACAAACCCACCUCAUUAGUGUGCAGAUUCGCGUCCACCUUAAUGGGAAGCUUGUAUGUAUAACAAAGAACUGUCCCAACACAGAUUUCUUUAUGAUUUGCCAGUCAGUGUUUGAUGUGCAUGCCCAUUUUAGAUACCUUGGACUGCAGAGAGAGUUUACGAAGCCUGCUGUACCCAACCGCAGCAAGGGGGCGCCUCUCAGGCAGUCCUGUGUAGGAUGAAUGUGUUUGUACUCAAAGGGGACUGGAUACAAUCCUGGGCUCUGGAUUCAGGCGGGUGGAUGUGAUGGCCAGUACUGAUUGUCAGCUUGACAGGAUCCAGUGUGAAGAAGAGAUAAGCAUCUAGCACAUCUGUGAGACGAUCUAGAUUAGGUUCACUGAGAGACCCACUCUAAAUGACGGUGUCAUUCCGUAGGAUGGGGUCUGCCAUGUGACCGACUGCUUUACAUUCCUCCAGCAUGGCUACCCUGUUGUGACAAGUUGCGCCCUCAGACCUCAAGCGAAAAUAGACCUCUCCUACUCUAAAUUGAUUUUUAUCAGGUAUUUGUCAGAGCAACAAAAGUAAUAGAGUGGUCUACACUCAGAUUCUGGGGAGAUGGGGCCUGCGAUGGAGCUUGUAAGGAGCCAUGUGAUUUCCCACAUUUCCUGGUCCACUUGGCAUGUCCCUGUGUAUGACCCUCUCAGGCACCCUUUGCCUAGGCAUGGCACCAGACGCACGAAGGCACACUCUCAGGAUGUAUAAGCACAAUGGUUAGGCACCCACCCCCAGCUCCCACACUUCCAGGUGUGUACCUGGGUAAAGCAUCUGCCCACUCUGUGUCUCACAUAACAUAAGACCAGGCAUCAUUCCUACCUUCUUGGCUGGUUGGAAAGCAAGUACAACCUGCAAGGCCUAUCAGUGAGGCUACUGGAACCAUCUUCCCAUGGGGAGUUCUCCAUAAUGUCUGUUCUCUGUGACUCAGCAGGAGUCAGUGUGUGCCAGUCUUGCCUAGGGCACACUCUCCUGAAGCUUCCCUUAGACCUGUCGCCUGAGUCUCCAUCUCAUCCCAUUUCUCAGGCCACGAGGCAGCAGCUCUAAGAAAUGAGUGUCAUUUGCAAACAGUGGUUUUCUAGAGAGUAACAGGCUUGCCAAGGGUCAAAGGAGAACAUGUGGACCGUGUAACCAUGGUGGGCAGCUUACUUUGUCUCUUAGCCUUAUCUGUAAAGGGACCUACAUUCUCCUGUGCUGAAGUGUUUAUAGGGCUCUGUUGGCAUUGAGGGUUCUGGCACUAAGUGAUUGCUCAAUAAAUACUUUCUGUGGUUA
This is a long non-coding RNA of Mus musculus (house mouse), 2353 nucleotides long. RefSeq annotates it as predicted gene, 46972. NCBI's taxonomy places the organism in Eukaryota, Metazoa, Chordata, Mammalia, Rodentia, Muridae. The transcript has 2 exons. The record is from RefSeq and is a predicted model, not a curated record.